GGUGUUUCGCUUUUCUGAUAUUUGCAUAGAAAAUGGAGUAAGUUCUGGCUUUGAAAAAUGGAAUCAGCCUGCAGUCUUAAGAAGAUUGUCCUUUUACCCUCCAUGAUGACUAAAAUCCCAGGAGACAAGCUGGCCCAGAUGGCAGCCAAAACAGACCGCGCAGCCACCAGAUUCUCACCUCUGCACCCCAGAAAUUGAAAGGGUCCCUCUUGUCUAGAUGAUCCCAGGUGACGGGCAGCACCGAGAGCCGACGGGAAAGUGCGGAAGAAGCCGCCGAAGCCCGGUGGGGCAGCUCGGUCAGUUUCAGAGCAGCCGGCUGGCGGCCACACUAGAGGGGUAAAGUCGCCCCUUGGACUCUUCUUUCAAGACUCAUCAUGCCCCACUGUUUUUAAGGUCAAUUUGGGUCUCUGUGUUAAUUUAUAAUUCGAUUAAUUAAAAGAAAUGGAUGUAAAAUAAAUUGAAAUCAAAUAACCACA
Erinaceus europaeus (western European hedgehog) is the source of this 476-nucleotide long non-coding RNA. RefSeq lists it as uncharacterized. The transcript has 3 exons. NCBI's taxonomy places the organism in Eukaryota, Metazoa, Chordata, Mammalia, Eulipotyphla, Erinaceidae. The record is from RefSeq and is a predicted model, not a curated record.